This 1613-nucleotide ribosomal RNA is filed under the name Haemophilus influenzae. RNAcentral describes it as "bacterial LSU rRNA". It matches the Rfam family "Bacterial large subunit ribosomal RNA", at positions 1286 to 2882 of the family's 2925-position model. Lineage: Bacteria; Pseudomonadati; Pseudomonadota; Gammaproteobacteria; Pasteurellales; Pasteurellaceae. The record is from RNAcentral.
AAGUGCGAAUGCUGACAUAAGUAACGAUAAAACGGGUGAAAAACCCGUUCGCCGGAAGACCAAGGGUUCCUGUCCAACGUUAAUCGGGGCAGGGUGAGUCGGCUCCUAAGGCGAGGCUGAAAAGCGUAGUCGAUGGGAAACAGGUUAAUAUUCCUGUACUUGGUAAAGCUGCGAUGUGGGGACGGAGUAGGUUAGGUUAUCGCACUGUUGGAUAUGUGCGUUUAAGUUGGUAGGUGGGAAGUUUAGGCAAAUCCGGGCUUCCUUAACACAGAGAGAUGAUGACGAGGCUCUACGGAGCUGAAGUAACUGAUACCACACUUCCAGGAAAAGCCACUAAGCGAAAGGCUUUACUAAACCGUACUGAAAACCGACACAGGUGGUCAGGUAGAGAAUACUCAGGCGCUUGAGAGAACUCGGGUGAAGGAACUAGGCAAAAUAGCACCGUAACUUCGGGAGAAGGUGCGCCGGCGUAGAUUGUAAGGGCUAGCCCCUGAAGGUUGAACCGGUCGAAGAUACCAGCUGGCUGCAACUGUUUAUUAAAAACACAGCACUCUGCAAACACGAAAGUGGACGUAUAGGGUGUGAUGCCUGCCCGGUGCUGGAAGGUUAAUUGAUGGUGUAAUCGCAAGAGAAGCACCUGAUCGAAGCCCCAGUAAACGGCGGCCGUAACUAUAACGGUCCUAAGGUAGCGAAAUUCCUUGUCGGGUAAGUUCCGACCUGCACGAAUGGCAUAAUGAUGGCCAGGCUGUCUCCACCCGAGACUCAGUGAAAUUGAAAUCGCCGUGAAGAUGCGGUGUACCCGCGGCUAGACGGAAAGACCCCGUGAACCUUUACUAUAGCUUGACACUGAACAUUGAAUUUUGAUGUGUAGGAUAGGUGGGAGACUUAGAAGUAGUCACGCCAGUGAUUAUGGAGUCGACCUUGAAAUACCACCCUUUAACGUUUGAUGUUCUAACGAAGAUGACGAAACGUGGUCUCGGACAGUGUCUGGUGGGUAGUUUGACUGGGGCGGUCUCCUCCCAAAGCGUAACGGAGGAGCACGAAGGUUUGCUAAUCACGGUCGGACAUCGUGAGGUUAGUGCAAUGGUAUAAGCAAGCUUAACUGCGAGACAGACAAGUCGAGCAGGUACGAAAGUAGGUCAUAGUGAUCCGGUGGUUCUGAAUGGAAGGGCCAUCGCUCAACGGAUAAAAGGUACUCCGGGGAUAACAGGCUGAUACCGCCCAAGAGUUCAUAUCGACGGCGGUGUUUGGCACCUCGAUGUCGGCUCAUCACAUCCUGGGGCUGAAGUAGGUCCCAAGGGUAUGGCUGUUCGCCAUUUAAAGUGGUACGCGAGCUGGGUUUAGAACGUCGUGAGACAGUUCGGUCCCUAUCUGCCGUGGGCGUAGGAGAAUUGAUUGGGGCUGCUCCUAGUACGAGAGGACCGGAGUGGACGCACCACUGGUGUUCCGGUUGUGUCGCCAGACGCAUUGCCGGGUAGCUAAGUGCGGAAGAGAUAAGUGCUGAAAGCAUCUAAGCACGAAACUUGCCAAGAGAUGAGUUCUCCCAAUCUAAGAGAUUGUAAGGGUUGUUGUAGACUACGACGUAGAUAGGUCUGGUGUGUAAGUGUAGUGAU